UGAAUACGAGACGCUAAGGCGUCGAAGUAGUGUAUGUCAUACUUCCAAGAAAAGCUUGCACUGUCAUAGAUAAAAAACGCCUGUACCAUAACCGACACAGGUGGGUAGGUAGAGUAUACUAAGGGGCGCGAGAUAACUCUCUCUAAGGAACUCGGCAAAAUAACUCCGUAACUUCGGGAGAAGGAGUGCCUUAUUCUUAAGGUUGCAAUAACAAGAUCCAAGCAACAGUUUAUCAAAAACACAGGUCUCCGCUAAGUCGUAAGACGAUGUAUGGGGGCUGACGCCUGCCCAGUGCCAGAAGGAUAAAGAAGCUGGUUAGCAUUUGCGAAGCUAGUAACUGAAGCCCUGGUGAACGGCGGCCGUAACAAUAACGGUCCUAAGGUAGCGAAAUUCCUUGUCGGGUAAGUUCCGACCCGCACGAAAGGCGUAAUGAUUUGGAUACUGUCUCGGAGAGGGGCUCGGUGAAAUAGACUUGUCUGUGAAGAUGCGGACUACCUGCACCAGGACAGAAAGACCCUAUGAAGCUUUACUGUAACUUGAAAUUGAAAUUGGACUUUAUUCGCGCAGUAUAGGUGGGAGGCGUUGAUUAUAAUCUUGCGGGAUUAUUGGAGCCAUUAGUGAGAUACCACUCUUGUAAUGUUAGAUUUCUAACUUUGAAUCAUUAUCUGGUCAAAGAACAGUUUCAGGCGGGCAGUUUGACUGGGGCGGUCGCCUCCUAAACGGUAACGGAGGCGUACAAAGGUUUCCUCUGAACGGUUAGAAAUCGUAUCUAGAGUGUAAAGGCAUAAGGAAGCUUGACUGUGAGACCUACAAGUCGAGCAGGGACGAAAGUCGGUCUUAGUGAUCUGACGGUACUGAGUGGAAAGGCCGUCACUCAACGGAUAAAAGUUACCCUAGGAUAACAGGCUGAUCUCCCCCAAGAGUUCACAUCGACGGGGAGGUUUGGCACCUCGAUGUCGGCUCAUCGCAUCCUGGGGCGGUAGUACGUCCCAAGGGUUGGGCUGUUCGCCCAUGAAAGCGGUACGCGAGCCGGGUUCAGAACGUCGUGAGACAGUUCGGUCCAUAUCCGGUGUAGGCGUUAGAAUAUUGAGAGGAGCCUUCUUUAGUACGAGAGGACCGAGAAGGACAUACCUCUGGUGUACCAGUUAUCGUGCCAACGGUAAACGCUGGGUAGCUAUGUAUGGAGUGGAUAACCGCUGAAAGCAUCUAAGUGGGAAGCCCACCUCAAGAUAAG
This 1234-nucleotide ribosomal RNA is filed under the name metagenome. Its description in RNAcentral is "bacterial LSU rRNA". It matches the Rfam family "Bacterial large subunit ribosomal RNA", at positions 1564 to 2808 of the family's 2925-position model. The record is from RNAcentral.